This 25-nucleotide small nuclear RNA is filed under the name Arabidopsis thaliana (thale cress). RNAcentral's name for it is "snRNA_16598". The record is from RNAcentral. Lineage: Eukaryota; Viridiplantae; Streptophyta; Magnoliopsida; Brassicales; Brassicaceae.
UACCCUCUAUUGCACAGUUCUUUUC